AGUGAACGCUGGCGGUAGGCCUAACACAUGCGAGUCGAACGGCAGCACAGUAAGAGCUUGCUCUUACGGGUGGCGAGUGGCGGACGGGUGAGGAAUACAUCGGAAUCUACUUUUUCGUGGGGGAUAACGUAGGGAAACUUACGCUAAUACCGCAUACGACCUACGGGUGAAAGCAGGGGAUCUUCGGACCUUGCGCGAUUGAAUGAGCCGAUGUCGGAUUAGCUAGUUGGCGGGGUAAAGGCCCACCAAGGCGACGAUCCGUAGCUGGUCUGAGAGGAUGAUCAGCCACACUGGAACUGAGACACGGUCCAGACUCCUACGGGAGGCAGCAGUGGGGAAUAUUGGACAAUGGGCGCAAGCCUGAUCCAGCCAUACCGCGUGGGUGAAGAAGGCCUUCGGGUUGUAAAGCCCUUUUGUUGGGAAAGAAAAGCAGCAGGUUAAUACCCCGCUGUUCCGACGGUACCCAAAGAAUAAGCACCGGCUAACCUCGUG
Molecule: ribosomal RNA, 492 nt
Filed under: uncultured bacterium
Lineage: Bacteria
Description: partial 16S ribosomal RNA
Rfam family: Bacterial small subunit ribosomal RNA
Source: RNAcentral